RNAcentral lists this ribosomal RNA (484 nucleotides) under uncultured Tulasnella. RNAcentral's name for it is "eukaryotic LSU rRNA". The stretch from base 40 to 201 matches the Rfam family "5.8S ribosomal RNA". The record is from RNAcentral. Lineage: Eukaryota; Fungi; Basidiomycota; Agaricomycetes; Cantharellales; Tulasnellaceae.
AAUCCAACUUAUGCCUAUUUGAAAUACAAGAGAAUUACAACCAGUAUGCGUUGGAUCCCUUGGCACGUCAUUCGAUGAAGACCGUUGCAAAAUGCGAUAAGUGGUGUGAUAUGCAAGUCCAAAACUUAUACGUGAACCAUCGAAUCGUUGAACGCACUGCAUCGAGCCUUACCCAGGAACGAUACGCCCCAUUGAGCGUCAUUAUGUCUUCGUGACUGUCAUUUAUUUGGCCUGUCCGGGUUCGGGAUUCACAGCUUUGAUUAGCUGCGCUUCCUUAGAUACAUGGAUGCACUACAGCUGAAGGUGUCCUUGUCAUAAAUGUCGAGGUUUUCCAAAAGCUUAGAUGCAAGAUUGCUCUUGUGCAGAGUAAUCAAAUGCGACCACUUCAUUGCGGAAGCAGCUUCUAAACAUGACCUCACGGGGGUGGGAUGACCCGCUAGACUUAAGCAUAUUAAUCAGCGGAGGAAAAGAAACUAACAAGGAU